Long non-coding RNA from Leopardus geoffroyi (Geoffroy's cat), 1289 nucleotides. RefSeq lists it as uncharacterized. Lineage: Eukaryota; Metazoa; Chordata; Mammalia; Carnivora; Felidae. The record is from RefSeq and is a predicted model, not a curated record. The transcript has 3 exons.
GCCUGGCGCGUGUUUGCGUGUUUCAGUGCUGACGGGGAUCCAGGAGAGCAGGCGGGGCCGCAGGGGAGGGGCGGGCCCUGGGCAGCCAGUCUGGACGCUCCCAGGGAGAGACCUGUCACUUCCUCAGAUGCACAGUAAGCUUCGGCUUCCUACGUUCCCCAAAGGGGAGUGGUUCUGGCUCUUCUAGGGAAUUCCUGAAUCCAAGACACUAUCCUUCAGAAUGUCUGGAGUCCCCUUUUUCCCAGCGGAGAUCAAGACCAGUGAAGGAAGGAGGGAACCAGGGCUAGAGAUUUGACAAGGCUGGUUAGUGUCCAGUUCAGGGUCAGAAUGAUCCCUCACUUGGAGUCCUGGCUGUCUGAACUUCAAGGAGAAACAGCCCCAAGCCCUGUGAAUCAGAAACCCCCUCAGAUGUGAAGGGAUCCACACCUGACAGCCUUCACUCCCUUUUUCGAUUCUUCUCCAGAAUUCCCUCUGGGUGAUGAGACACGUCUCCAUGGAAACACCUCGAGGGUGGAUUACCUGGGCUCUUUUAAAUGGCACUGAGAAGAACAUGGCAGGUGCAGAAUUGCCUUCCAGAACCUUCCAGCUCAGCCUGGCCAGCAGCUGGAAGCAGCUGAGGGAGUGACCCAGCCAGGCCAGGUGGAGCAGAGAGCCACCAGCGGGGCCCUGCCCGAAAUCUGACCCCAGGACUGUGGGGAGUCAGGAACCACUGACAUUUGAAGCCACAACCCUAUUGGAAGGUCUGUCCUGCAAGAAGAGAUAACCGACUCAGAGGGGGCACAGGGGGACUGGCCUGGAGUGUCACCAGCGGGGAGGAGCUCCCAGGUUGGAAUGAAGGGAGCAGGAGCACAUCCCUAUUCUUGCCCUGUCUGCAAUGACCAAGGCCUCCCUGGUUUCGUGAAUGCUGGAACUUCUCCUCUAGAAACCUGGGUUGCUACAAAGGCUAUCUCGCCCAUGGGUGGUCUGCCCACGUCAGCAUUAUCCAGCCGCCCCCAGACUGCAGCCGAGAGGGACCAGAGCCGGCUCACAGGGUCCCGCCAGUGACAAAGCCUGUACCGCGGUCUGCCUGCCCAUCGCCCAAAGCAUGGUGGUGAGACCCUCCCAGGCAACCUGCGUCAGGUGCUGGAUCACACGGCUCCCACGGACGCACGUAAGUUUGGAGAUGGAAGCUGAAUUUUAGUUGUUGAAGGAAAUACCUUUUUUUAUGUGUAUUUAUUUUUUAGAGACCUGGAGUGCAAGUGGGGGAGGGGCAGAGAGAGGGAGACACAGAAUCCGAAGCAGGCUCCAGG